AGUGAACGCUGGCGGUAGGCCUAACACAUGCAAGUCGAACGGCAGCACAGUAAGAGCUUGCUCUUACAGGUGGCGAGUGGCGGACGGGUGAGGAAUACACCGGAAUCUUCUUUUUCGUGGGGGAUAACGUAGGGAAACUUACGCUAAUACCGCAUACGACCUACGGGUGAAAGCAGGGGAUCUUCGGACCUUGCGCGAUUGAAUGAGCCGAUGUCGGAUUAGCUAGUUGGCGGGGUAAAGGCCCACCAAGGCGACGAUCCGUAGCUGGUCUGAGAGGAUGAUCAGCCACACUGGAACUGAGACACGGUCCAGACUCCUACGGGAGGCAGCAGUGGGGAAUAUUGGACAAUGGGCGCAAGCCUGAUCCAGCCAUACCGCGUGGGUGAAGAAGGCCUUCGGGUUGUAAAGCCCUUUUGUUGGGAAAGAAAAGCAGCAGGUUAAUACCCCGCUGUUCUGACGGUACCCAAAGAAUAAGCACCGGCUAACUUCGUG
This 492-nucleotide ribosomal RNA is filed under the name uncultured bacterium. RNAcentral's name for it is "partial 16S ribosomal RNA". It matches the Rfam family "Bacterial small subunit ribosomal RNA", at positions 29 to 507 of the family's 1533-position model. The record is from RNAcentral.